This is a long non-coding RNA of Oncorhynchus gorbuscha (pink salmon), 662 nucleotides long. RefSeq lists it as uncharacterized. The record is from RefSeq and is a predicted model, not a curated record. NCBI's taxonomy places the organism in Eukaryota, Metazoa, Chordata, Actinopteri, Salmoniformes, Salmonidae. The transcript has 2 exons.
UCCUCUUUCUAGGGUAAUUGUCUAGUUGCAGCUCUGUGGGGAAGUCUGGUUUUCAAAGAAGUCAAAGGUUUGGUAAACUGUUCAAUCUUCAUAGUAGCCUCCUGUGUUGUCCUGACUGGAUCAAUGUUGACGGCCUUCUCCAAUGUGUAACAUAAUCAAUAUACCCCCUAGAUGGCAGCAUUUAUACAGGAGUGGCCAUCCUAAAGGAGUCCUGAGGUGUGUUUUGAAAGCUAAUGGACAGAGCUGAUUCACGAUCCCCUAUUCUGUCUGAGACAAUCAUAUUUGUUCUGGACAAUACAUUCCUAUUUGAAUGUUCUCUGUUACACCCUCAUGAACAGGGCCCUAGAUGGUGAAGUGUGUUUGUCUCUGAUAGUCCUUCAGUUUAGUCUGUACAUCUAAUGGAGCACUUGAUCACCUGGUUAAUGAGGGUUCAGCUGUUGCUGGGACUUCUGUUGUCACGUAUUCAAUAGUUUGACGAAUUAAAGGGCAUUUUGAAUGUUAAGAGGGACGAUGUAUAAUUAAUUUAAAAUGUUCAUACUCUACUGAAAAUAUUUAUGGUGUUUUCUGUGGUAUUUUACUAUGUAUGUGUUAAAGUCAUAAUCUUUAAGAUCUUAAUGUUAAUCUUUAUAUGGGACAUGUUUGAAUAAAAUGGCUAACACUCA